This 448-nucleotide ribosomal RNA is filed under the name Blastocystis sp. RNAcentral describes it as "SSU rRNA". It matches the Rfam family "Eukaryotic small subunit ribosomal RNA", at positions 475 to 936 of the family's 1831-position model. Lineage: Eukaryota; Bigyra; Opalinata; Blastocystidae. The record is from RNAcentral.
AAAUCACAAUGCGGGACUAUCAGUCUUGCAAUUGGAUUGAGAACAAUGUACAACUCUUAUCGAUAAGCCAUUGGAGGGCAAGUCUGGUGCCAGCAGCCGCGGUAAUUCCAGCUCCAAUAGCGUAUAUUAACGUUGUUGCAGUUAAAAAGCUCGUAGUUGAAGUGUGGGUGGUGCUGUCUGAAUGACUUCGGUUAGUCAGAUGAUCACUACCCCCUUCCAGUAUCCAGUAGUGGGUAUUCACUUACUUACUAUUGUGUGUUGGUCGUUUACUGUGAGAAAAUUAGAGUGUUCAAAGCAGGCGUUUGCUUGAAUAGAUUAGCAUGGAAUAAUAAUUGAAGGCUUUCGUGUUCGAUUUGAUUGGUUUGUUCAUGGAAGCAAGGUUAAAAGGAACAGUUGGGGGUAUUCAUAUUCACUAGUUAGAGGUGAAAUUCUCGGAUUUAUGGAAGAU